RNAcentral lists this unclassified non-coding RNA (2639 nucleotides) under Leishmania donovani. RNAcentral describes it as "gene:LdHU3.01.0140(CDS-product:hypothetical_prote in_conserved)". The record is from RNAcentral. Lineage: Eukaryota; Euglenozoa; Kinetoplastea; Trypanosomatida; Trypanosomatidae.
CAGCCACAGCGGCGACGCCGACUUGGGCCGCUUGCCCCCAGCCGCCCUCCUCUUCGCCGCCUCCACCCCCGCUCCUGUUGCAUCCUGCACAGCGCACGCAACCGCAUAGACACCAUUCACUUCGCCAUCCGGCCCCCUCACUCUCACCGCCCCCUCCCCUGCAGCGGAGAACGAACUUCGCGGGCCCCUUUCGGCUCACGCACUUCCUCACGCUCUCCCUAGUCUGGUGCGUUCCCUUCUCCUCGCCACCUGACACACACACACACGCACACACACACGCACGUGCAUCACCAUACAUCAACGCCAUGCACUUCGACCCUGGACCGUGCUCACGUGACCAGAGACCUCAGCGAGAGAAUCGGUACACGGUGCACUACAAUAUGGAUGGUCGCGCUGCCCCCUCCAGCACCACGACGCUGCUACCGCUUCGCCACUACGGCCGCGCACGCGACAUCAGCGCGAUGCUGACAGCCCCCGUCGUGGAGUACCGCCAGCCGCAGUGGACGACGCCGCUUGGAAAGCCGCUCUGGACACUUUCUCCCAUUCCCAACCCGACGACCGCGGCAACUGGUGUUGAGCGCAGAAGUGGCGGCAGCAGAAGCGGCACACCGCACGCGUACUGCAUCCCCUCGUCGUGCCCGACUGCCUUCACAGCCGCCCGUACUCUAUCUUAUCUCAGCGGUGCGGCCGCAUCCGCAGCUAGGGCCACAGAGACGACGCUGCGCUCCUCUUCCAACGUCAUGCGACAGCCAUUUACGUCUUCCUACAUGGAGGUAUCGCCUCCCUCGGCAGCAGUGGCGGCUCAGCGGGACUACGAAGCUGCAGGCAGGCGAGUGCGAGCGGAGCGGGCGGGCGGCGCCACCGCUACCGCAGGGCGGCAUUCCUCCGGCAGCUCACCGCCACCACGUUCCACUACGAGUGACCAGCAGUCGCAUCGCAGCCGCGACAUUGCGCAGGCCCGCCCUGGCUGCACGACGUCCACGGAGCGCGUCCGCUACCGCAACGGCGUCACAAGGAAGUUGAUUGACCUCUACGACGAGAUAGCAGAGUUGUACGACUGCCGCGAGAACAUGAGGAACCAGGUGACGCAGGCGAUGCGCACCGACCCUCGCUACUGUAAGGAGAGGCACGGCGAGGUCCGACUCGCCUGCGAGCCCACACCCCAGCAGCAGUCCGCUGUAGAGUCGGUCGAAGACGCGCUUGAGGUCUUGCACGACGCCGUGCACGAGCUGGUCGCGGCCUAUCUCACACCGGAGGAGAAGCGCCACCUCGGCAUCGACACGCACCUCUUCCAGACCAGCACGGAAAAGGCAAAUACCUACCAGUACGCGCCACCCCCGUCGAAGCCGCAGUCUUCGUCGAGCAGUGCCGCACGAAGGGCCCGUCGAAAGACGUCCACGGCGACGACGUCUCCACUGCCGUCCACUCGCCCCCGUGAGGUGCACAAGGAGCAGGAGGAGGGUGAGGCUGAUGAAAAUACAGCAGCCACCUCGCCGACGCCGGCAGCUCCAACUCUCACCGCCCCUGCCGACACGCCGGCUCCACAGCAGCAGCCGUUGGCUACUACGACGACCAACAACAAUAUCAGCAACAACGUCUGGGACUUGUCGGCGCCAGCGGCAUCAGCUGCCUUCAGCUCGGCCGCCAUCCCUCUCCCAGCAUUCCCCGUCAAGCUAGCACAGCAGUCUGUGGUUGAACUCUCCCAGCUGGCGGACCCGCCACAGCCGGUGACGUCGUCGUCGCAGCCUCUCUGCUCCUCCAUUGUGCAUGUCGCAGCGCCGGAGAAGCACGAAGAUGGCUCUGAUACCGCAGUUGAGCAGAAACCUGCCACGGCUUCCCACACAGAAGACGCAGAGAUUGCGGAAGGGACCCCGGAGCGCGUCUUGGCGUCGGCCGUGCCCGCAUCGACACCGAGUAUCACGUGGCCCACGGACACGGGGGCGGGGUCAACACCGCAUCCACCGACCGGGUCGCAGCCCCCGCUUGCAACUGACCAGCUUGUGAAGGUGCCAGUUAGCAGCCCCGAUGCGCAGAUUCCGAUCGCCAAGACGCCGCCGGCAGUACCCCCGGGACCCACGUCGGUGCGGGCGCAGGCGCGGGAACCCGCACUGACUUCCACCAACCCUACGCAACCGCCGCCGCACCCACCCAGCCAAGCUGCCUUCGCGACGAGCUGCAACGACGCCUCUGCUGCCAAGGCCUCUGAGCCGCAAGCACAGAGAGCGGUCUCGAGGUUCAAGCGCCUCCUGAUCGACUCCGACAGUGACAGCAGCUGGUGACUCGACUUGGUAGAGCACUGCAGCUAGCGGUGGUGGUGAUGCUCGAGGGCACCGGAGGAGGAGGCUGGGUAGAGGGUCCGAAAGGAAGGAAAGCCGAUGGCUACUGCGCAUGUGUGUGCGCGUGUUUUCGUGUGUGCAGAAGUGGCAAUGUAAGGCGCCGUGGCUGAUGUGAUGAGUGGCUCGAAGUGUUCGCUCAAACUACUCUCCCGAAGGUGCUCCACCACGUCCGACCCCACGUCACCCGCAGGUGCACCUGGCGCACACGCCACCCCUUCUCUCCUUCCACACACGCACACUCCGGAGUUCGGUGCGCGCACCUUAUGUUCCGUUUUGCUUCUUCUUUCUGCGAGAAUCCCUGCG